CAGUGAACAGAGGAAAAACUCAGAAGCCCAAACAGGUUUCAAAUUGGCAGUUGUAGAUGUGGAAGCAUCAUGCCUGAGCCCACUGAAUCAGUGAAGGUCUCCCUGAGGUAGUGAUGGGUUGAAAUGGGCUUGCUCAAGCAACUAAAGGAAGGCCACUAAUUCUGGGAUGCAGUAAAAAGAGGCCAAAUAACACAGGACUUUUUAAACCCAGGUGGAUUGGGAGGACCUUCAAGAUGAUGGAGGAGUAAGACAUGGAGAUCACCUUCCUCCCCACAAAUACAUCAAAAAUACAUCUACAUGUGGAACAACUCAUACAAAACACCUACUAAAUGCUGGCAGAAGACCUCAGACUUCC
Balaenoptera ricei (Rice's whale) is the source of this 355-nucleotide long non-coding RNA. RefSeq lists it as uncharacterized. Lineage: Eukaryota; Metazoa; Chordata; Mammalia; Artiodactyla; Balaenopteridae. The transcript is spliced from 3 exons. The record is from RefSeq and is a predicted model, not a curated record.